GAUGAACGCUGGCGGCGUGCCUAAUACAUGCAAGUCGAGCGAACAGACGAGGAGCUUGCUCCUCUGACGUUAGCGGCGGACGGGUGAGUAACACGUGGAUAACCUACCUAUAAGACUGGGAUAACUUCGGGAAACCGGAGCUAAUACCGGAUAAUAUAUUGAACCGCAUGGUUCAAUAGUGAAAGACGGUUUUGCUGUCACUUAUAGAUGGAUCCGCGCCGCAUUAGCUAGUUGGUAAGGUAACGGCUUACCAAGGCAACGAUGCGUAGCCGACCUGAGAGGGUGAUCGGCCGCACUGGAACUGAGACACGGUCCAGACUCCUACGGGAGGCAGCAGUAGGGAAUCUUCCGCAAUGGGCGAAAGCCUGACGGAGCAACGCCGCGUGAGUGAUGAAGGUCUUCGGAUCGUAAAACUCUGUUAUUAGGGAAGAACAAAUGUGUAAGUAACUAUGCACGUCUCGACGGUACCUAAUCAGAAAGCCACGGCUAACUACGUG
RNAcentral lists this ribosomal RNA (497 nucleotides) under uncultured bacterium. RNAcentral's name for it is "partial 16S ribosomal RNA". It matches the Rfam family "Bacterial small subunit ribosomal RNA", at positions 28 to 507 of the family's 1533-position model. The record is from RNAcentral.